ACCCUCAUUGGACUGAUCUCUGGUUGGGAUGAGUCCGCCUACAGAUCAAUGUGGAAUUUCUGAGAAUCACAACCACGAUUCCUGGCUACCUUGGACAAGCACCACAGCAAGCUGAUUGAGACAAUCAGGGACGAGGGAAGAGUUGUCAGAAUAAAGUCCUGAUCAAUUGUGAUGUAUUGAUACAUACAUCCAUACUUGAUCAUUAUCACAUAAAUAAUCAUUUAAAAAAAGCAAUUGUGUUCAUUUCCAUAACAUGUUCCAUUGAGGAAUUAUAUUAAAUGUUAGAAUAAUAUACUGCAUAUUAUCUAUUGACUGUGAGAGGACUUUUAACUGGUUUGCUCAAGCUGAGAGGUCUGACAAAACAUUUUUUCAGAUCAUGUCUAUGAACUCAAUGUAGCAGGACACUGGUUUUCCACAGGUGGAUUGUUAUUUGCGACACUACAUCAGUAUGACUGUGCAGAAGCAGUACACUGCAUUAACCAGUAUACUUAGUACUAGUAGCCGAAAGCCUCUGUAAAUCUCAGUUACUGUUACUCCGAGUACCUAUUCGUAUAUUGUACAGUGUCUGCAUUUUUUUUUAAAUUGGCAAAAUUGGACAGUAUAACAUUUUCUGUGUUUGCGCUGUAGAGCCUUGAGGUGAAUCUGAGUGUCUGCUGAAGUGCAUCAUUCUGUACCUUGGGGAAGACGAGUAAAGGUCUUUUGAAGAGAAUUUUACUGUCUUUAUUUCUAUUAUGUUUCAAUUUCAUGAACAUUCUACUUUUCUAUCACAGAAAAUACUGUGUGUUGUGACAUUUUAUUUGAAAUAAAGCAAAAUAUACAAGUGUAUUGGACUACA
Gasterosteus aculeatus aculeatus (three-spined stickleback) is the source of this 835-nucleotide non-coding RNA. Lineage: Eukaryota; Metazoa; Chordata; Actinopteri; Perciformes; Gasterosteidae. The record is from RefSeq and is a predicted model, not a curated record.